Molecule: ribosomal RNA, 712 nt
Filed under: uncultured Candidatus Pelagibacter sp.
Lineage: Bacteria; Pseudomonadati; Pseudomonadota; Alphaproteobacteria; Candidatus Pelagibacterales; Candidatus Pelagibacteraceae
Description: bacterial SSU rRNA
Rfam family: Bacterial small subunit ribosomal RNA
Source: RNAcentral
CAGUCGACGAAGUAGCAAUACUUAGUGGCGAACGGGUGAGUAUAAUGUGGGUAUCUGCCUUUUGGUGAGGAAUAACAUGGGGAAACUUAUGCUAAUACCUCAUAAGCCUUUACAGGGAAAGUUUUAACGCCAAAAGAUGAGCUCGCACUUGAUUAGCUAGUUGGUAGGGUAAUAGCCUACCAAGGCUACGAUCAAUAGUUGAUCUGAGAGGAUGAUCAGCCACAUUGGGACUGAGACACGGCCCAAACUCCUACGGGAGGCAGCAGUAGGGAAUCUUGCACAAUGGGGGAAACCCUGAUGCAGCGAUGCCGCGUGAGUGAAGAAGGCCCUUGGGUUGUAAAGCUCUUUCGUCGGGGAAGAAAAUGACUGUACCCGAAUAAGAAGGUCCGGCUAACUUCGUGCCAGCAGCCGCGGUAAUACGAAGGGACCUAGCGUAGUUCGGAAUUACUGGGCUUAAAGAGCACGUAGGUGGUUAGAAAAGUUGGUGGUGAAAUCCCAAGGCUUAACCUUGGAACUGCCAUCAAAACUUUUUAACUAGAGUAUGAUAGAGGUAAGUGGAAUUUCUAGUGUAGAGGUGAAAUUCGUAGAUAUUAGAAAGAACACCAAUUGCGAAGGCAACUUUCUGGAUCAUUACUGACACUGAGGUGCGAAAGCAUGGGUAGCGAAGAGGAUUAGAUACCCUCGUAGUCCAUGCUGUAAACGAUGUGUGCUA